This 1535-nucleotide ribosomal RNA is filed under the name uncultured rumen bacterium. RNAcentral's name for it is "bacterial SSU rRNA". It matches the Rfam family "Bacterial small subunit ribosomal RNA". The record is from RNAcentral.
AGAGUUUGAUCCUGGCUCAGGAUGAACGCUGGCGGCGUGCUUAACACAUGCAAGUCGAACGGAGUAUUGACGCUGAACGAUUGACUAGCUUGCUAAGAUUGAGUUCUUGUUGAUACUUAGUGGCGGACGGGUGAGUAACGCGUGGGUAACCUGCCGUAUGCAGGGGGACAACAGUUGGAAACGACUGCUAAUACCGCAUAUGCACACAGUACCGCAUGGUACAGGGUGGAAAGAAUUUUCGGCAUACGAUGGACCCGCGUCUGAUUAGCUAGUUGGUGAGGUAACGGCCCACCAAGGCGACGAUCAGUAGCCGGCCUGAGAGGGUGAACGGCCACAUUGGGACUGAGACACGGCCCAAACUCCUACGGGAGGCAGCAGUGGGGAAUAUUGCACAAUGGGGGAAACCCUGAUGCAGCGACGCCGCGUGAGUGAAGAAGUAUUUCGGUAUGUAAAGCUCUAUCAGCAGGGAAGAAAAUGACGGUACCUGACUAAGAAGCCCCGGCUAACUACGUGCCAGCAGCCGCGGUAAUACGUAGGGGGCAAGCGUUAUCCGGAUUUACUGGGUGUAAAGGGAGCGCAGACGGAAGAGCAAGUCUGAUGUGAAAUGCGGGGGCUCAACCCCUGAGUUGCAUUGGAAACUGUUAUUCUAGAGUGCAGGAGAGGUAAGUGGAAUUCCUAGUGUAGCGGGUGAAAUGCGUAGAUAUUAGGAGGAACACCGGUGGCGAAGGCGGCUUACUGGACUGUAACUGACGUUGAGGCUCGAAAGCGUGGGGAGCAAACAGGAUUAGAUACCCUGGUAGUCACGCCGUAAACGAUGAUCACUAGGUGUUGGGGACCAAAGGUCUUCGGUGCCGCAGCUAACGCAAUAAGUGAUCCACCUGGGGAGUACGUUCGCAAGAAUGAAACUCAAAGGAAUUGACGGGGACCCGCACAAGCGGUGGAGCAGGUGGUUUAAUUCGAAGCAACGCGAAGAACCUUACCAAGUCUUGACAUCUAACUGACAGAGAGGGUAAUGCCUCUUUUCUUCGGACAGUUAAGACAGGUGGUGCAUGGUUGUCGUCAGCUCGUGUCGUGAGAUGUUGGGUUAAGUCCCGCAACGAGCGCAACCCUUGCCUUUAGUAGCCAGCAGUAAGAUGGGAACUCUAAAGGGACUGCCAGGGAUAACCUGGAGGAAGGUGGGGAUGACGUCAAAUCAUCAUGCCCCUUAUGACUUGGGCUACACACGUGCUACAAUGGCGUAAACAAAGGGACGCGAAGGGGUGACCCGGAGCAAAUCCCAAAAAUAACGUCUCAGUUCGGACUGUAGUCUGCAACCCGACUACACGAAGCUGGAAUCGCUAGUAAUCGCAGAUCAGAAUGCUGCGGUGAAUACGUUCCCGGGUCUUGUACACACCGCCCGUCACACCAUGGGAGUAGGUAAUACCCGAAGUCCGUGACUUAACCGAAAGGAGAGAGCGGCCGAAGGUAGGACUUAUAACUGGGGUGAAGUCGUAACAAGGUAGCCGUAGGAGAACCUGCGGCUGGAACACCUCCUU